Molecule: ribosomal RNA, 372 nt
Filed under: uncultured organism
Description: bacterial SSU rRNA
Rfam family: Bacterial small subunit ribosomal RNA
Source: RNAcentral
GGGGGGAGCAAGCGUUGUUCGGAUUUACUGGGCGUAAAGGGCGCGUAGGCGGCGCAACAAGUCACUUGUGAAAUCUCCGGGCUUAACUCGGAGCGGUCAAGUGAUACUGUCGUGCUAGAGUGCGGAAGGGGCAACUGGAAUUCUCGGUGUAGCGGUGAAAUGCGUAGAUAUCGAGAGGAGCACCUGCGGCGAAGGCGGGUUGCUGGGCCGACACUGACGCUGAGGCGCGAAAGCCAGGGGAGCGAACGGGAUUAGAUACCCCGGUAGUCCUGGCCUUAAACGAUGGAUGCUUGGUGUCCGGGGUUACAUAGUCCCCGGGUGCCGUCGCUAACGCCUUAAGCAUCCCGCCUGGGGAGUACGGUCGCAAGACUG